GUAGGUGAACCUGCGGAAGGAUCAUUAUCGUAGGGCUUCGGCCCUGUCGAGAUAGAACCCUUGCCUUUUUCGAGUACCGUCCGUUUCCCCAGCAGGCUUGCCUGCUACCGGGGACCCAAAACCAAACUCUUUUGUACCUGUAAUCGUCUGAAAACAAAACAAAAAUUAAAACUUUUAACAACGGAUCUCUUGGUUCUG
This 198-nucleotide unclassified non-coding RNA is filed under the name rhizosphere metagenome. RNAcentral's name for it is "partial ribosomal RNA internal transcribed spacer region". The record is from RNAcentral.